Long non-coding RNA from Parasteatoda tepidariorum (common house spider), 491 nucleotides. The record is from RefSeq and is a predicted model, not a curated record. Lineage: Eukaryota; Metazoa; Arthropoda; Arachnida; Araneae; Theridiidae.
GACAAACAUCAAUUGAGACAGUUUUUGCAACCCAUGAUUUGAAAUGAUUUGGCGUUUAACGGAGACAAUCCAGAAAGAAAAAGCACUUGACCAAUGGGGGUCUAAAACAUUUUUGUACCCGGGGACCCUGCGUGAUAUUUAGACAGUCCUGGCUGCAUUGCAUGGGAUUUGCUCACUACGUCAAAAUGCCAGAGUGGACACUUGCAGAUCUGCGUCGAACUCAGGGGUGUUGCUGAUGACAUUACUGUACACGCCAGUUAUCGGAAACCUGCGACCCCUGGGUUACCUAUUGAUAUUAAUUUAUCUUAUCUGUAUAAUGCUUUUAUGUUCUGUAUUCUAAAAUAGUGUGUAAUUUAUAAUGUAAGUGAUAAGACAUACCAGCAAAAAAUUUUGUAAAAAAAAUUACCAACCACUAAUGCACACUAAUGGGUGGUUCAGUGUUAUAUGGCCACAAUCGAGUGAAGAAUAAAUAAAUAAAUCAUUCUACAGAU